GUGUUUCAGCACCACAUGUUCUAAAACUGCAACGGCACAGAGGUUAGUCUGGCCUUUGUGCACAGAUGAUACAGAAAUUUUUGAAGUGCUCCAUAUUUUG
This 100-nucleotide small nuclear RNA is filed under the name Microtus ochrogaster (prairie vole). The record is from RNAcentral. Lineage: Eukaryota; Metazoa; Chordata; Mammalia; Rodentia; Cricetidae.